GUCUUGACAUUUUUUUAUCAAUUGUUUUGUUGAGGGGGAGCUUCAAUUUAAGGGGAGUCUCUACCACUAGGGAUCCUUUUUUCUUAUGAUAAAAAAGGGAGAACAAAUCCUAACAACAUAAAUGUGUUAGUAUUGUUUAAAGCUAAUAUUAUUAUGUCUUGUUUACUUUAAAAUCAAUGCAGGAUAAACAAAAGUGCUUUUAACACAUGAUUUUUUUAUCAUCAUAAAAAAGAGGGAGAUUAUUACUGUUAAAUAUGAUGAAACCUAUAUGGGUGUUGCUCCCUCCACCUCUCCAAUUUCUCCCUGUAGCUCCCCAAAUUUUUCUAUUUUACUAAAAUGGCCUUUGUUAGAAACGAUUUUGCUUUUACCUUUUAAUUUUUACUUUUUUUAACCUUAAUUCCCUUUCCCUGUUAUUGCAACCGCGACACCCCCACCCCCGUUCAACAGAUUUCUUCUUCUUCCCUCUUUCUCUUACCUCUUCUUCCACCCCCACACUUUUUAAACCCCUAAUCCCCUUUGCCUCAUACUGCAACACCCCACCCACCACCACACUUUUGGAUUUUUUCUUCUUCUCUCUUUCUCUUGCAUCUCUUCAUCUCUUCUUUAAGUUC
This 611-nucleotide long non-coding RNA is filed under the name Vigna radiata. RNAcentral describes it as "long non-coding RNA (VRAD_LNC000775)". The record is from RNAcentral. Lineage: Eukaryota; Viridiplantae; Streptophyta; Magnoliopsida; Fabales; Fabaceae.